This 479-nucleotide ribosomal RNA is filed under the name uncultured organism. Its description in RNAcentral is "partial 16S ribosomal RNA". It matches the Rfam family "Bacterial small subunit ribosomal RNA", at positions 329 to 799 of the family's 1533-position model. The record is from RNAcentral.
ACGUACACUCCUGCGGGAGGCAGCAGUGGGGAAUAUUGCACAAUGGGCGCAAGCCUGAUGCAGCCAUGCCGCGUGUAUGAAGAAGGCCUUCGGGUUGUAAAGUACUUUCAGCGGGGAGGAAGGCGAUAAGGUUAAUAACCUUGUUGAUUGACGUUACCCGCAGAAGAAGCACCGGCUAACUCCGUGCCAGCAGCCGCGGUAAUACGGAGGGUGCAAGCGUUAAUCGGAAUUACUGGGCGUAAAGCGCACGCAGGCGGUCUGUCAAGUCGGAUGUGAAAUCCCCGGGCUCAACCUGGGAACUGCAUUCGAAACUGGCAGGCUAGAGUCUUGUAGAGGGGGGUAGAAUUCCAGGUGUAGCGGUGAAAUGCGUAGAGAUCUGGAGGAAUACCGGUGGCGAAGGCGGCCCCCUGGACAAAGACUGACGCUCAGGUGCGAAAGCGUGGGGAGCAAACAGGAUUAGAUACCCCAGUAGUCCCAUG